UCCCUGGUGGCCUAACGGUUAGGAUUCUGUGCUUUCACUGCUGCAGCCCAGGUUCAAGCCUGGUCAGGGAA
This 71-nucleotide transfer RNA is filed under the name Bos taurus (domestic cattle). It matches the Rfam family "tRNA". From Rfam's summary of the family: Transfer RNA (tRNA) molecules are approximately 80 nucleotides in length. Their secondary structure includes four short double-helical elements and three loops (D, anti-codon, and T loops). Lineage: Eukaryota; Metazoa; Chordata; Mammalia; Artiodactyla; Bovidae. The record is from Rfam by way of RNAcentral. RNAcentral also lists the same sequence under 2 other names.